UUGAAAGGACGCUUUACCCCAUAGCUGAAACGGCUAAAACUCAAAGCCUCAGUUUGAGACAAACCAUUCUUCUGACUACCCAGGGAAUUUUUCAAUGGCUGAUGCGGCUCCGUCCCCAUCACCACCUCCUCCACCGGCACCGGAACUAGAGAACAAAUUGCCAGAUAGGAUGACUGAGAUGACAAAGAACGAGGUUGAGGUCGGGACGGAGGCGUUACGCCUUAUCAGCUUACUCAUGAGCCGGACCGAUGAACCUAACAGGAGGAUUCUGGGACUGGAAGCCUCACGUAACGCCAGGGUUGCCGCCACAGCAUCACGAAGUCUUGCAAACUCAUUGCAAACAAAAGACGCAAUCCAAAACGCCGAAAUCGCAGAGACAUUGGCCGAAACAGCCGAACGUUUUGUCCACUUUUUGUAGAGACAUUUUGUAGUAACGUUUCUUCCCGUCCCAUUCAAGUAAAACAUCAAAUGUGCAACUCAAUGCUGCGGCUUACCCUUUUCGGACCAAUAGUUGGGAAGGAGGUUGCGGGACUUUAUAUCAUGAAGUUCCGUAAAGUAAGUAAAGGAGAAUCUCGUUUUUUGGGAAGCAGGCUGCUUCACUAAAUCUUGAAGCUUCGAGAAUGAGUUGAUGUUUGAAAUCCCAACCUCAAAAAUCGUCAAAUCUGCUCCAAUUUUGGGUGCUUCUCUGUUUUCUAAUGCUUAUAGAACCCGAAUUUUGUAACAAUUGUAGUUAUUUACUUUUGUUAUGUUUAUAUGUUAUAAAUGCUUCAGGCUUCUCGCCACUCGAUGACUGGGGCAAAAAUUUCUC
This is a long non-coding RNA of Tigriopus californicus, 808 nucleotides long. RefSeq lists it as uncharacterized. The record is from RefSeq and is a predicted model, not a curated record. The transcript is spliced from 2 exons. Lineage: Eukaryota; Metazoa; Arthropoda; Copepoda; Harpacticoida; Harpacticidae.